GACGAACGCUGGCGGCGUGCCUAAUACAUGCCAGUUGAGCGCUGAAGGUUGGUACUUGUACCGACUGGAUGAGCAGCGAACGGGUGAGUAACGCGUGGGGAAUCUGCCUUUGAGCGGGGGACAACAUUUGGAAACGAAUGCUAAUACCGCAUAAAAACUUUAAACACAAGUUUUAAGUUUGAAAGAUGCAAUUGCAUCACUCAAAGAUGAUCCCGCGUUGUAUUAGCUAGUUGGUGAGGUAAAGGCUCACCAAGGCGAUGAUACAUAGCCGACCUGAGAGGGUGAUCGGCCACAGUGGGACUGAGACACGGCCCAAAAUCCUACGGGAGGCAGCAGUAGGGAAUCUUAGGCAAUGGACGAAAGUCUGACCGGGCAACGCCGCGUGAGUGAAGAAGGAUUUCGGAUCGUAAAACUCUGUUGGUAGAGAAGAACGUUGGUGAGAGUGGAAAGCUCAUCAAGUGACGGUAACUACCCAGAAAGGGACGGCUAACUACGUG
RNAcentral lists this ribosomal RNA (497 nucleotides) under uncultured bacterium. RNAcentral describes it as "partial 16S ribosomal RNA". It matches the Rfam family "Bacterial small subunit ribosomal RNA", at positions 28 to 507 of the family's 1533-position model. The record is from RNAcentral.